RNAcentral lists this unclassified non-coding RNA (26 nucleotides) under Mus musculus (house mouse). RNAcentral describes it as "oocyte_clustered_small_RNA12098". Lineage: Eukaryota; Metazoa; Chordata; Mammalia; Rodentia; Muridae. The record is from RNAcentral.
UUGCUGGUCAAGAGCAGAUGCGACAA